CUACGGGAGGCAGCAGUGGGGAAUUUUGGACAAUGGGGGCGACCCUGAUCCAGCCAUGCCGCGUGCGGGAAGAAGGCCUUCGGGUUGUAAACCGCUUUCGGACGGAAAGAAAUCGUCUUGGUUAAUACCCAGGAUGGAUGACGGUACCGUAAGAAGAAGCACCGGCUAACUACGUGCCAGCAGCCGCGGUAAUACGUAGGGUGCGAGCGUUAAUCGGAAUUACUGGGCGUAAAGCGUGCGCAGGCGGCUUUUUAAGCCAGAUGUGAAAUCCCCGGGCUUAACCUGGGAACUGCAUUUGGAACUGGAAGGCUAGAGUGUGUCCGAGGGAGGUGGAAUUCCACGUGUAGCAGUGGAAUGCGUAGAGAUGUGGAGGAACACCGAUGGCGAAGGCAGCCUCCUGGGAUAACACUGACGCUCAUGCACGAAAGCGUGGGGAGCAAACAGGAUUAGAAACCCUUGUAGUCC
RNAcentral lists this ribosomal RNA (465 nucleotides) under uncultured bacterium. RNAcentral describes it as "bacterial SSU rRNA". It matches the Rfam family "Bacterial small subunit ribosomal RNA", at positions 339 to 796 of the family's 1533-position model. The record is from RNAcentral.